This 433-nucleotide ribosomal RNA is filed under the name uncultured bacterium. Its description in RNAcentral is "partial 16S ribosomal RNA". It matches the Rfam family "Bacterial small subunit ribosomal RNA", at positions 29 to 507 of the family's 1533-position model. The record is from RNAcentral.
AACGAACGCUGGCGGCAUGCCUAACACAUGCAAGUCGAACGAGACCUUCGGGUCUAGUGGCGCACGGGUGCGUAACGCGUGGGAACCUGCCCUUAGGUUCGGAAUAACUCCCCGAAAGGGGUGCUAAUACCGGAUAAUGUCUUCGGACCAAAGAUUUAUCGCCUUUGGAUGGGCCCGCGUUGGAUUAGCUAGUUGGUAGGGUAAAAGCCUACCAAGGCGACGAUCCAUAGCUGGUCUGAGAGGAUGAUCAGCCACACUGGGACUGAGGCACGGCCCAGACUCCUACGGGAGGCCGCAGUGGGGAAUAUUGGACAAUGGGCGAAAGCCUGAUCCAGCAAUGCCGCGUGAGUGAUGAAGGCCUUAGGGUUGUAAAGCUCUUUUACCCGGGAUGAUAAUGACAGUACCGGGAGAAUAAGCUCCGGCUAACUCCGUG